Molecule: ribosomal RNA, 517 nt
Filed under: uncultured bacterium
Lineage: Bacteria
Description: bacterial SSU rRNA
Rfam family: Bacterial small subunit ribosomal RNA
Source: RNAcentral
AUUCGUGGCUACGAGGAUAGAACGCGUGGGCGGCGUGCAAUAACACAUUCAAGUCGAACGAAGCGCAGAGACGGAAGUCCUUCGGGGGCGGAAGAUUCUGUGACUUAGUGGCGGACGGGUGAGUAACGCGUGAGCAACCUGCCUGUGAUAGAGGGAUAACACAUGGAAACGUGUGCUAAUACCACAUGAAGCGGAGAUAUCGCAUGGUAAUUCCGUUAAAAGAUUUAUCGAUCGCAGAUGGGCUCGCGUAUGAUUAGGCAGUUGGUGAGGUAACGGCUCACCAAACCGACGAUCAUUAGCCGAACUGAGAGGUUGAACGGCCACAUUGGAACUGAGAAACGGUCCAGACUCCUACGGGAGGCAGCAGUGGGGAAUAUUGGGCAAUGGGCGAAAGCCCUGACCCAGCGACGCCGCGUGAGGGAAGAAGGUCUUCGGAUUGUAAACCUCUUUCAGUAGGGAAGAAGAAAGUGACGGUACCUACAGAAGAAGUCACGGCUAACUACGUGCCAGCCGCCGC